UGAAGAUUUAAUUUCAAUUUUCAACAGACUCAACAUACAAUGGCAAAUAGAAAGUAAGUAAUAAUACUUUAAAACAAAGAAUUUUUAAAAUGCAUGAAAUUGCUCUAUAAUAUUAUAUUGAGAACAUUAAUGCAAAAGUUACAUGGUAUUUCAAGUGGUUCAAGUGGUUUACGAUUUUGUUUGCAGCGUCGGAAUGCGUCGGGUUUCUGGGCAACAGCUCGAUAUUCUAUAUACCUACAUUCUCAUAGGGAUAUUGCCGUUUCCUUUAAUAGAUCCCUACAGGCAAAAGAGCACUCCAAAAGAAAAUGGCAAGAGGUAGCGGAGAUAUUAAAUGCUCAAGGCGAUGGGGCUCAUAAAGAUUGGAAAAGCUGGUCUAAAUAUUAACUAUUGACACAACGAAGUCUGUCCGGGCAGCUAGUUUAAAAUAUAAAACAUUGUAUGAAUCACAAAAAUUAUUUACAAAUUGCAGGAAAUAUACACAAAAAAAUGUAUGUUAUCAUUUAAUCUAUGCC
Molecule: unclassified non-coding RNA, 512 nt
Filed under: Melitaea cinxia (Glanville fritillary)
Lineage: Eukaryota; Metazoa; Arthropoda; Insecta; Lepidoptera; Nymphalidae
Description: misc RNA ENSMCXG00005004766.1
Source: RNAcentral